Molecule: ribosomal RNA, 559 nt
Filed under: Melocalamus arrectus
Lineage: Eukaryota; Viridiplantae; Streptophyta; Magnoliopsida; Poales; Poaceae
Also listed under: 1 other name
Description: eukaryotic LSU rRNA
Rfam family: 5.8S ribosomal RNA (bases 201-352)
Source: RNAcentral
GGAAGUAAAAGUCGUAACAAGGUUUCCGUAGGUGAACCUGCGGAAGGAUCAUUACCGAGUUAGGGACCGACAGCCCCGCUGCCGCCGGGGGAGACCACGCUCGUCCCCUGGAGAGCGUCCUCGUGGCCCAACCAAACAAACUCCCAAACCAAAAUGUGAAACAUUCUGAAUCAGACUUUUGAUAUACCAAUCAAAAACAAAACUUUCAACAACGGAUCUCUUGGUUCUGGCAUCGAUGAAGAACGCAGCGAAAUGCGAUAAGUAAUGUGAAUUGCAGAAUUCCGUGAGUCAUCGAAUCUUUGAACGCACAUUGCGCCCUGGCAUUCCGAAGGGCAUGCCUGUUCGAGCGUCAUUUCCUCCCUCCAACUUUGCUUGGUGUUGGACCGCGUUGGACUUCGCGGCUCUCAAAGACAAUGACGGCGUCGGGACCCUCUUCGCACUGAGCUUUCGGAGCACGCGUCGAGUGCAAGGUCUCGUGGGCCCGGCCACCUCUCUAAUAGGUUGACCUCGGAUCAGGUAGGGAUACCCGCUGAACUUAAGCAUAUCAAUAAGCGGAGGA